UGCUCGGUCAGCCAGCGUCUGGGAUGGGAGCGCUCCUGCAUUUUACAUGACUGCGGGGCCUGUUCCUUGCGCCUGUCUGGUCGCGUCACAUCAUGGAGGGUUUCUCGGGGCGGCCGGCCGCCUCUGAGCACAGCCAGGGUGGUGUUUGCAGCACAGCUGCUGCCUAGGCCUCGCUGCGGAGGUGCUGGGCCACGGCCCCGUGGAGGCAGAGCCGCAGGGCCAUCGACAUGUCCUUUGAAAACGGGCAUUUCCCCAACUCAUGCAGGUGGAGGGGAGAGCGAAGCCAAAUGGGACACCGGCCCCCACACACUGCCCCGGCUCCUGCAUUUCCGGAGAUGGAAACCUGGAGAGCAGCUGGGAUCUUGAAAACGUGGGUUGGACUGCGUCACCCCGACCCCUGCCUCAAAGCCCCUCCGUGGUUGCCUACAGCACAGCUUGAAGCCCCUUGGUUCUGCUUCCCGGGCCUGCAGCGCUGGCCCCAGCCUGGCCGAGCGAGCAUUUGUUCACCCAAGACCUUUCCCCUCCUGCCCUCGUGGAGCCUCCACAAGGAGUAAACAACCACUUCUGGUCCCUCAAAGCAUCAACUCUGUGCCUUGCAGACAGCGGACACGUAACACAGCCACGCGGCGUGAACAUGAGCAGACUUCUUUUUUCCAGGAUGUGCACGGUUUCCACGACAAUGCCCACUGCACGCCUUAUGGCCUCACCAGAGACGUAAAGCAGAUGCCAAGAAACUUCCCCCCAAAAUGGGCUGGCUUGCCAAGCCCAGGACCGCCUGUCCAGCUGGGGCUGGGGGCAAGGAUCCCAUUUUCUGUGACUCUCUUUGCUCUGAUGGUCAGGUUCACCGGCCGUACGUGUAAUCUGAAGCAUUCGGUAGCGAUCUAAUUAAAUGUUAACACAUCAUUAAAGUGAUUUGCGAUAAGCACA
This 927-nucleotide long non-coding RNA is filed under the name Homo sapiens (human). Its description in RNAcentral is "HSALNT0318148". The record is from RNAcentral. Lineage: Eukaryota; Metazoa; Chordata; Mammalia; Primates; Hominidae.